Molecule: ribosomal RNA, 459 nt
Filed under: uncultured bacterium
Lineage: Bacteria
Description: partial 16S ribosomal RNA
Rfam family: Bacterial small subunit ribosomal RNA
Source: RNAcentral
CCUACGGGCGGCUGCAGUGAGGAAUAUUGGUCAAUGGUCGUAAGACUGAACCAGCCAAGUAGCGUGCAGGAUGACGGCCCUAUGGGUUGUAAACUGCUUUUAUGCGGGAACAAAAUGCAUCUCGGGUCCUGCUUUGUAGGUACCGCAUGAAAAAGCACCGGCUAAUUCCGUGCCAGCAGCCGCGGUAAUACGGAGGGUGCGAGCGUUAUCCGGAUUUAUUGGGUUUAAAGGGUGCGCAGGCCGAAGUUCAAGGCAGCGGUAAAAUCCCGGGGCUCAACCAGGCUCUGCCGUGGAAACUGGGUUGCUUGAGUGCGCGGAGGGUAUGCGGAAUGCGUGGUGUAGCGGUGAAAUGCAUAGAUAUCACGAAGAACUCCGAGUGCGAAGGCAGCCUACGGGAGCGCUACUGACGCUGAAGCUCGAAGGCGCGGGUAUCGAACAGGAUUAGAUACCCUGGUAGUC